GACGAACGCUGGCGGCGUGCUUAACACAUGCAAGUCGAGCGGUAAGGCCCUUUCGGGGGUACACGAGCGGCGAACGGGUGAGUAACACGUGGGCGACCUACCCUCAGCUUCGGGAUAAGCCUGGGAAACUGGGUCUAAUACCGGAUAUGACUUCGCAUCGCAUGGUGUGGGGUGGAAAGUUUUUCGGCUGGGGAUGGGCCCGCGGCCUAUCAGCUUGUUGGUGGGGUGAUGGCCUACCAAGGCGACGACGGGUAGCCGGCCUGAGAGGGCGACCGGCCACACUGGGACUGAGACACGGCCCAGACUCCUACGGGAGGCAGCAGUGGGGAAUCUUGCGCAAUGGGCGAAAGCCUGACGCAGCGACGCCGCGUGAGGGAUGACGGCCUCGGUUGUAA
This 395-nucleotide ribosomal RNA is filed under the name uncultured bacterium. RNAcentral describes it as "bacterial SSU rRNA". It matches the Rfam family "Bacterial small subunit ribosomal RNA", at positions 28 to 428 of the family's 1533-position model. The record is from RNAcentral.